CGCUAUCACUCCUACGGGGAGGCAGCAGUAGGAAUCUUCCACAAUGGGCGCAAGCCUGAUGGAGCAACACCGCGUGAGUGAAGAAGGGUUUCGGUUCGUAAAGCUCUGUUGUUAAAGAAGAACACGUAUGAGAGUAACUGUUCAUACGUUGACGGUAUUUAACCAGAAAGUCACGGCUAACUACGUGCCAGCAGCCGCGGUAAUACGUAGGUGGCAAGCGUUAUCCGGAUUUAUUGGGCGUAAAGAGAGUGCAGGCGGUUUUCUAAGUCUGAUGUGAAAGCCUUCGGCUUAACCGGAGAAGUGCAUCGGAAACUGGAUAACUUGAGUGCAGAAGAGGGUAGUGGAACUCCAUGUGUAGCGGUGGAAUGCGUAGAUAUAUGGAAGAACACCAGUGGCGAAGGCGGCUACCUGGUCUGCAACUGACGCUGAGACUCGAAAGCAUGGGUAGCGAACAGGAUUAGAUACCCUGGUAG
Molecule: ribosomal RNA, 473 nt
Filed under: uncultured bacterium
Lineage: Bacteria
Description: bacterial SSU rRNA
Rfam family: Bacterial small subunit ribosomal RNA
Source: RNAcentral